Molecule: non-coding RNA, 1300 nt
Organism: Zootermopsis nevadensis
Lineage: Eukaryota; Metazoa; Arthropoda; Insecta; Blattodea; Termopsidae
Source: RefSeq, a predicted model, not a curated record
GGUUUAACCAAUUUGAAGCGAAUCUAGGCUUCACUGAAGCAAGUGGAGCCCUUUCAGGCACGAUCCCUUGUAACUCUAUCAGUGCCAAGAUAUCCUUGACGUACAUUAAUGAGAGGUGCAGAGCAACACUAGACAGCCUGAAGGUGACGCAACUGAGUGGAAUCAAAGUGCACAUCAGCAACCAAGGUGGCUUUAGCUGGUUGUUGUCCUUCCUUGCUAACUAUGCCACUGACAGUAACAAGGAGAAGAUUGUGUCUGCAGUGGAGGAACGCUUGUCUAAAAACAUUGAGGAGCUCCUGAGCCACUUCCAUUGUGAAAAGUACUUCAAGCAGGUUUAUAAUCAGCACCUGUAGACAUUUCAUCGGUCACUCGGUCUCGCCAUAGUUGAAAUAUUACGGCGUAUAGUAAGUAAAUAUAUUAUCUGGGAACAGAUGUUCUUGGGAAUGGCCCAUUCUUAUUUCACUAACACUGUUGUCACUCUUGAGUUUCUAAAAACAAAUUGGGUGCAUUUCCAGGAGUUCCUCAGUAACUUCCAAGACCCAUUUUGAGCCAUGAAUUUUCUGUGUACAUUUAAAUUCAGUGCCUUUACAUUUGUUAGAUACCACAAUUAGAUAAUACCUUGCAAUAAGAAGUAAACUGAAUACAGGGAAUCCAGUAAUUAUAAUCUUAUAGUAUGAAGCUUAAAAUAUGGAACCUUCCGGUCUUGUUAACACAGCAUAUUUCAGGCAGUGUUAUUUAUGUCUUCAGUGCUAUGAAAUAAGGAGAGCGCAUUGAAGGGUGAUAAAAUGUAGUGGGUCUCCAUACGAAGCUACAUGAUUUUCUUUUGUACUAAAUGCCAGCAUUAACUGACCUCCAGCUCAGAAUUACCUGAUUCAUGUUGGUAUAAAUCUAGAAUGACUCAGCCUGCUUGCUGUCACUAAAUAUCACCAGUGAUUCAUGCCGAUGUCCAGUUUAGGUUUCCAUCCUAAUGAAUAAGGACUCUGAUGUUGAGUAAUAGUUACUGUGAGUGCUACGACUUAGCUUAUCAUGACACGACACUGACACUUACGUACAAGCACAACUGUGCUUUGUGGUCACUUGUUCUUCAUGGAGUUAAUCUUCUUUGUAAGAUACAGAUGAAAAGUGGCUAUAUGUGAACUGGAUUCAACCGGUUUAGGAAUUAUAUGAUAAUAUUUCUAUUGUUGGCUAACUUGGUUUAAAGAGCAAGGGAGAAACUAGAAAAAACAGAAGAAAAAUAUGCAUAACAUACAACUUUAUUGUAAAAUUUAUAUUAUAAAAAUAAAAGUGCCUCAUAAAAGAU